This 46-nucleotide non-coding RNA is filed under the name Schistosoma mansoni. The record is from RNAcentral. Lineage: Eukaryota; Metazoa; Platyhelminthes; Trematoda; Strigeidida; Schistosomatidae.
GCACUGCUAAGGAGUCCUAUCAUAGGACGAAACAGCCGUCCAGUGC